AGAGUUUGAUCAUGGCUCAGGAUGAACGCUAGCGGCAGGCCUAAUACAUGCAAGUCGAACGAGAUUAAGAGGCUUGCUUCUUAUGAAAGUGGCGCACGGGUGCGUAACGCGUAUGCAACCUACCUUAAUCAGGGGGACAGCCCGAAGAAAUUCGGAUUAAGACCGCAUAAAAACACAGGAUAGCAUUAUCCAAUGUUCAAAUAUUUAUAGGAUUAAGAUGGGCAUGCGUGUCAUUAGCUAGUUGGCGGGGUAACGGCCCACCAAGGCGACGAUGACUAGGGGAUCUGAGAGGAUGACCCCCCACACUGGUACUGAGACACGGACCAGACUCCUACGGGAGGCAGCAGUAAGGAAUAUUGGUCAAUGGAGGGAACUCUGAACCAGCCAUGCCGCGUGCAGGAAGACAGCCCUCUGGGUCGUAAACUGCUUUUAUUCGGGAAUAAACCUUUCUACGUGUAGGAAGCUGAAUGUACCGAAGGAAUAAGGAUCGGCUAACUCCGUGCCAGCAGCCGCGGUAAUACGGAGGAUCCAAGCGUUAUCCGGAUUUAUUGGGUUUAAAGGGUGCGUAGGCGGCUUAUUAAGUCAGGGGUGAAAGACGGUGGCUCAACCAUCGCAGUGCCCUUGAUACUGAUGAGCUUGAAUACACUAGAGGUAGGCGGAAUGUGACAAGUAGCGGUGAAAUGCAUAGAUAUGUCACAGAACACCGAUGGCGAAGGCAGCCAUCUGGCCUAACACUGACGCUGAGGUGCGAAAGCAUGGGGAGCAAACAGGAUUAGAUACCCUGGUAGUCCAUGCCGUAAACGAUGUCUACUAGCCGUUGGGGCCUUUGAGGCUUUAGUGGCGCAGCUAACGCGAUAAGUAGACCGCCUGGGGAGUACGGUCGCAAGACUAAAACUCAAAUGAAUUGACGGGGGCCCGCACAAGCGGUGGAGCAUGUGGUUUAAUUCGAUGCAACGCGAAGAACCUUACCUGGCCUUGACAUAGUAAGAACUUUCCAGAGAUGGAUUGGUGCCUUCGGGAACUUACAUACAGGUGCUGCAUGGCUGUCGUCAGCUCGUGUCGUGAGAUGUUGGGUUAAGUCCCGCAACGAGCGCAACCCUUUUCCUUAUUUGCCAGCGAGUAAUGUCGGGAACUUUAAGGAUACUGCCAGUGACAAACUGGAGGAAGGCGGGGACGACGUCAAGUCAUCAUGGCCCUUACGGCCAGGGCUACACACGUGCUACAAUGGUCGGUACAAAGGGUUGCUACCUAGCGAUAGGAUGCUAAUCUCAAAAAGCCGAUCGUAGUCCGGAUUGGAGUCUGCAACUCGACUCCAUGAAGUCGGAAUCGCUAGUAAUCGCGGAUCAGAAUGCCGCGGUGAAUACGUUCCCGGGCCUUGUACACACCGCCCGUCACACCAUGGGAGUUUGUUGCACCAGAAGUAGCUAGCCUAACUGCAAAGAGGGCGGUUACCACGGUGUGGCCGAUGACUGGGGUGAAGUCGUAACAAGGUA
RNAcentral lists this ribosomal RNA (1493 nucleotides) under uncultured bacterium. RNAcentral's name for it is "partial 16S ribosomal RNA". It matches the Rfam family "Bacterial small subunit ribosomal RNA". The record is from RNAcentral.